CUCGGGGAAGCAACAAGGGAGGAAGAUCUUGCUCUCUACUCAGCACACAAAGUAUUUCUUCCCGGCCAAAAUACUCAGAAUUUGCAGCAAAGAAAAACAAGAAAAAUACAGGCUCUUAUGCGAUACAACUGAGAGAGAGAGAUGUUGAAUGAACUACAGCUUCUGUUAUCUUCAGACGGGAGAGGGGAGACUUUUAUACUGCUGUCCAGGUGGCAUCAAGACAGCCAUCAGAUUAGUUCAAGCAAUCCAACGGUUAGAAGAAGCGCAAGUCAAAAAGGGCUACGUAUAAGAUAAGUGGUUUUUAACUCUUCUAUAUUCUGUUCGGCAUCCGGGAGGAGGAGGAUAAGCUCUCU
Molecule: long non-coding RNA, 353 nt
Organism: Pistacia vera
Lineage: Eukaryota; Viridiplantae; Streptophyta; Magnoliopsida; Sapindales; Anacardiaceae
Exons: 3
Source: RefSeq, a predicted model, not a curated record